CGGGGUGAGUAACGCGUGAGCAACCUGCCUUUGUGAGGGGGAGUAACACAGGGAAACUUGUGCUAAUACCGCAUGACGCAUACGAAAGACAUCUUUUGUAUGUUAAAGGAGCAAUCCGCACAAAGAUGGGCUCGCGUCUGAUUAGAUAGUUGGUGGGGUAACGGCCUACCAAGUCGACGAUCAGUAGCCGGACUGAGAGGUCGAACGGCCACAUUGGAACUGAGAAACGGUCCAG
Molecule: ribosomal RNA, 235 nt
Filed under: uncultured bacterium
Lineage: Bacteria
Description: partial 16S ribosomal RNA
Rfam family: Bacterial small subunit ribosomal RNA
Source: RNAcentral